Molecule: unclassified non-coding RNA, 76 nt
Filed under: Mucilaginibacter sp. OK283
Lineage: Bacteria; Pseudomonadati; Bacteroidota; Sphingobacteriia; Sphingobacteriales; Sphingobacteriaceae
Description: Flavo-1 RNA
Source: RNAcentral
UAGCAAUAGGGAUGGAAAUGGAUACCGGCCUAUGUGGCUAAGGCCUGUGCAGUAUGAAUGUACAGCCCGGGCCGCA